Molecule: long non-coding RNA, 736 nt
Filed under: Androctonus crassicauda
Lineage: Eukaryota; Metazoa; Arthropoda; Arachnida; Scorpiones; Buthidae
Source: RNAcentral
UAUUUCUUCUUGUGGAUGAACUAUAACUGCUUCACUCAUGAUGUCAUACUGCCUUCUCAAAGUGGAACAGAUUAUAGGUGGGAAAACGGGAGAGCAACUGAUGUAAAAAGUAAAAAAACCAGAGAGAUAAUUGCUUCCAAUUCAAAAGCUAGGAAAGAACUGCAGCUAUUUACAAAAUGUAGAUAUACAAAUGUAAACUACUGCAAGAUAGAUCAGUUGGGUAUUGCAACACUUUGGUCUUUAGAAAGGAAGAAGUCCAUUGUAGUGAACAACACUAAUUAGAAGACACAGCAAUUUGGUUUGUCCAGAUGUUGACUAUAAAUCCAGUUGAUGGGAUAAAGUUUUGAAGAGCUUGCCAUUAUUGAGAACUAGACAAAUCAGAGCUCCCAUCCCAGUUCAUGCAUUAGAAAAGUAAAUGAAUUACAAUUUGUUCAAUGUAAUUAUUAUACUGACAGAACUGUUAUCUUGAACCUAUACAGAUAAAAUAAAAAGUUACCAUGGCUGAUCAAUAUUAGGAUAUAUGAUAUGAUAUAACAAGAACUAUUUUCCUGAAUCUAUUAUGUUUGAUAAGAAUUGAUGAGUGAUGUGUCCAUUUUAGCUCUGGUUUCAAGAUACUUGCCAAUAAAAUCCUAUCCAGUUUUGACAGGUCCAUUUCCCCAGCCCCAACUCGGAAUUUCAUAAAAAGUUUUGUUUCAUCGUUUUGUGCUGAAUUGUGCUGCAAAAGUUUCGUUUUGUG